Molecule: ribosomal RNA, 406 nt
Filed under: uncultured bacterium
Lineage: Bacteria
Description: partial 16S ribosomal RNA
Rfam family: Bacterial small subunit ribosomal RNA
Source: RNAcentral
GACGAACGCUGGCGGCGUGCCUAAUACAUGCAAGUAGAACGAGUUGCGAACGGGUGAGUAACACGUGGUAACCUGCCUCAUAGCGGGGGAUAACUUUUGGAAACGAUAGCUAAUACCGCAUACUGUGUGAUGGACCUGCGUUGUAUUUGCGAGUUGGUGAGGUAACGGCUCACCUAGGCCACGAUCCCUAGCUGGUCUGAGAGGAUGACCAGCCACACUGGAACGGAGACACGGUCCAGACUCCUACGGGAGGCAGCAGUGGGGAAUAUUGCACAAUGGGCGCAAGCCUGAUACAGCCAUGCCGCGUGUAUGAAGAAGGCCUUCGGGUUGUAAAGUACUUUCAGCGGGGAGGCGUUACCCGCAGAAGAAGCACCGGCUAACUACGUGCCAGCAGCCGCGGUAAUAC